ACGAACGCUGGCGGCGUGCUUAACACCUGCAAGUCGAACGCUGAAGCUUGGUGCUUGCACUGGGUGGAUGAGUGGCGAACGGGUGAGUAAUACGUGAGUAACCUGCCCUUGACUCUGGGAUAAGCCUGGGAAACUGGGUCUAAUACUGGAUACGACAUGUCACCGCAUGGUGGUGUGUGGAAAGGGUUUUACUGGUUUUGGAUGGGCUCACGGCCUAUCAGCUUGUUGGUGGGGUAAUGGCUCACCAAGGCGACGACGGGUAGCCGGCCUGAGAGGGUGACCGGCCACACUGGGACUGAGACACGGCCCAGACUCCUACGGGAGGCAGCAGUGGGGAAUAUUGCACAAUGGGCGGAAGCCUGAUGCAGCGACGCCGCGUGAGGGAUGACGGCCUUCGGGUUGUAAACCUCUUUCAGCACGGAAGAAGCGAAAGUGACGGUACGUGCAGAAGAAGCGCCGGCUAACUACGUG
This 471-nucleotide ribosomal RNA is filed under the name uncultured bacterium. Its description in RNAcentral is "partial 16S ribosomal RNA". It matches the Rfam family "Bacterial small subunit ribosomal RNA", at positions 29 to 507 of the family's 1533-position model. The record is from RNAcentral.